UUCACGUAUGAAAUUGUGUAGAACCAUAGUAGCAGCAACAAUCUUCUUUUGUGUGAUCCUUGAAUAACCGGGCAUCUUGUAAAGGAUUUGCCACUUCAUUUUUAAUACUCCAAAUGAGGAGACCAAUGAUCAAUACCAAUAGUAGUUAUGUCAGAAAAACACUUGGCUAAUUCAUCUUCAUUCUCAAGACCCUUCUUUUUGAACUUUCCACAACCCGGAAUGUCCUGAAAUAAGAAAAAUAAUAGUAUUAUUAUAAGCAUUACCAACAAAAUCGACAUAUGCAAAACAAAUAUAUCAUCAAAAUUGAACCAACUUACAGCUCUAGCUUUUUUCCACCAUUCGUCAUCCAUAGCUAUAGUCUUCUUUAUAGGAUCCCAACCAGUCCCUGUUUGCCUCAGCAUUAGUU
This 406-nucleotide long non-coding RNA is filed under the name Setaria viridis. Its description in RNAcentral is "long non-coding RNA (SVIR_LNC001658)". The record is from RNAcentral. Lineage: Eukaryota; Viridiplantae; Streptophyta; Magnoliopsida; Poales; Poaceae.